GAUGAACGCUGGCGGCGUGCCUAAUACAUGCAAGUCGAGCGAAGCGGGGACGGGUGAGUAACACGUGGAUAACCUCCUAUAAGCCUGGGCUAACUUCGGGAAACCGGAGCUAAACCGGAUACUUAUCGAUGGAUCCGCGCUGCAUUAGCUUGUGGGUAAGGUAACGGCUUACCAAGGCCACGAUGCAUAGCCGACCUGAGAGGGGGAUCGGCCACACUGGAACUGAGACACGGGCCAGACUCCUACGGGAGGCAGCAGUAGGGAACCGUCCGCAAUGGGCGAAAGCCGGACGGAGCAACGCCGCGUGAGUGAUGAAGGUCUUCGGAUCGUAAAACUCUGUGAGUAGGGAAGCGGUACCGAAGCAGAAAGCCACGGCUAACUACGUGCCAGCAGCCGCGGUAAUUC
Molecule: ribosomal RNA, 405 nt
Filed under: uncultured bacterium
Lineage: Bacteria
Description: partial 16S ribosomal RNA
Rfam family: Bacterial small subunit ribosomal RNA
Source: RNAcentral